This is a long non-coding RNA of Ctenocephalides felis (cat flea), 546 nucleotides long. RefSeq lists it as uncharacterized. NCBI's taxonomy places the organism in Eukaryota, Metazoa, Arthropoda, Insecta, Siphonaptera, Pulicidae. The record is from RefSeq and is a predicted model, not a curated record. The transcript has 4 exons.
CAUCAUGGAGUCAAGAUCUUGGGACUUGGGACUUGGGAUCACGGACCCUAGACAAUAUAAUAAUUUUGAUCUAAUUGUUGAAGGAGUAUCUAAUGCUUCAGCGCUGACCAAUUUAAAAUUUGUGUUGGUUAACUCGAGCAGUAAGAAUAUAUAAAAAUGGCUGCAGUUGGCAAAGAUUUAGAAAAACCAACAGAUGAGGUGCCUCAGGUCCAUCGCAUCCGUAUUAACCGAUUUAAUAAAUCGAGCCAAGAAACAAAAGCCGCGUGAAGGGACCAGUUCGCAUGCCAACGAAAAUUUUACGUAUUACCACACGUAAAACACCUUGUGGUGUUUCAGUCAUCGAUCUGCACUCUCCAUCUGAAAUUGUGAAGCAAAUCACUUCCAUCAGUAUUGAACCAGGUGUAGACUUACUUUAAACGAAGUAAGUGGGAACUUGUCGAGAAUCGGCCCAAUAAUAUACAUAUAUAAUAAAAUAGUAUAAACAUAAUCAGAAGAGUCGCUGACCGCUGAGUUUCCCUCUCCAGAAAAGUGUGAACAAUGAACGAA